CGUCACUGUCCUGCGACGCUGAGGAUUUUCCCUGAGACGGAGAAGAAAGCCUUACGUUUCACCUUAAAGACAAAUGUCUCUACAUGUUGUUGAAGGAACACCCAGCAAGAAGCGAAGACCCAACUGGACAGACCAGGAGUCUCUUCUUCUUGCUCACUUAAUGCAGGAGAGGAAAGACAUUGUCAGAGGGAAGUACAGUACUGGAGUUUCAAUCAAAGCCAAGAGACAUGCCUGGGAAGAGAUGGCUCAAGCCAUCAAUGCUGCUUUUCCACAGGUUCAGCGCACAGUUUCUGACUGUAACAAGAAAUGGGAAAAUCUGCUGGCGAAGGCAAGGGAGGAAAUCAAACGACAGAAAAGGCAAGCGGGUAAAGAUGCAGUCCUAUCCAUUGAACAGUUCAGUGCCGUGACCCAAAUAGUUAUUACAGUGAUGAACCUCUCAGACAUGCUGCAACAGGACAAAGACGACUCUUCAGUCUCGGAGCUGAUGGAAACUGAACACAACAGCUCUGAUAAAGACGGAAAUGCUCACACAGUAAAUGAAAGAUUCACAAACAAGUGUCCGUCGCCUGAACAUGAGCUCCCGACAUAUUCAGGUCCAUCCAUCUGUCCAGCAGCACAAAAGACGACUUUUUCCAACACCGCAAAAUCAUUCACUGUGCAGCUUGGCACUCCUCAUGCGGUUGUCUUGACUGACUCUGGAGAACAUCUGGGUAGUUCUUGCUCCACCUGUCCACCAUCAGCACACUGCACAAAUCUGCAGGAGCGAAUGGAUUUGGAAAUGUCUGUGCUGAGAAGACAAGAAGAAGUCCUGAAGCUUCAACAGGAAUAUUACACACUUAAAAUAAAGCUGAUGAAAAAGCAAAUGGAAGAGUCACCUCAAAAGGACUGAAAAAGCGAUGCACCUGUAUGUGAUUUGUGCAAUUCUACAGUUUAUUUAGGAGACUCUUUUAUCCAAAGCGACGUACAGUUAGCCUAGCCACGCUAUACCCAUGUUUCUGACGGCACAAAGGUCUAGGGAAGCUCGACAGGGAGGGAGGCGGGCUAAAAGGUUGUCUAUCAAAUCCCUCUGCAGCAAUUGGGUAGGUAUACAACCAAUCUGCGCAACAAAUAGGCUGACGGAGUUCCUAGAGCACCGGCGGAUUGUGGCUAAGUCCCAUUAGCUUCCCAACCAGCGGGAGCCAACUGGUAUAUUAAGGAUUUGCCAUAUCCCGUCGGCAUAAGUCCAAAUAUGUCUUUCUUCUCAAUGAAACACUUCAGUGCCGUCCUUUGUUUAUCUUUUAAGUAGAAUUUUAGCUUCAAAUCUUUAAGGGCUGUGGCCAAAGCCGAGUCGAAAGUUAACUGUUUAUUGUGCGCUGGUUGUUUCUGUCAGAAUCGUCGCGCCUCUGUCGUCACUUCGUUACGCCCGCCUUCUGACUCUACACUUCAUGGUGAUUGGUCCGGCCAGUUUUAGGAGCAUCCAGCCUCGAGCCUUAUGGAGGGUAACUAGACUCACCCUGGCAGAGAAUUAAAUUCGUUGCCUUGGGUUGUCUAGCGCGGCUAGGCUAACAUACAGUGCCUAUCAUAAGUAUUCACCCCCUUUGAUGUUUUACCCUUUUAUUGCUUUCAUAAAUCAAUCAUGGUCAAUAAACAAAACAAAAAAAAUAUUGGAAAAAACUCUUUAAUGUCAACGUGAAAACAGAUUGCUAUAAAGUAAUGUUAAUGAAAGAAAAUUAUAUAAAUAAAAAUAAUUGUUUGCAUAAUUAUUCACCCCCUUCAAGUCAGUAUUCAGUAGAUGCACCUUUGGCUGCAAUCACAGCAGUGAGUCUGUGUGGAUAGGUCUUUUUGUUAAAAAAAGCCAAAUUUUAUUGACCAUGAUUGAUUUAUGAAAGCAAUAAAAGGGUAAAACAUCAAAGGGGGUGAAUACUUCUGAUAUGAACUGUAUAUCUGAGAGUAGAUACAACACAAUAUGACCACUGAGACUUUAAGCAGUGGGAUUCAUCUGUUUUACAGUUCAAAUGUGUAACGUUUUCUGUACAGCACAGUGCGAUGGAACAGAGAAACGCUUUUAAUGUCGUUGAAAAAUCUUUCCAUAUUCCGCUUUGAGAAACAAACGUCAGAUUUGUUCCGUCACGCUAAUGAGACGGCAGUGCCACUUCUGUCCUCAUCAUUCCAGUAAAAAAUAUUUUGUGACCUGGUCAGCUAGUAACGUUCAUAUUUUAGUACAUCUGCAAAUGCACAAAUUGAAUUUAUUUUGGAGAACGCUGCUGGCCAUGAUAGCGACCAAUGUGCCUCAUGUUGGGCUGAGGAUUUAUGGUCUAUGAGACAUGUUGGAUAGUUUCCAACGCUUUUUCAAGGCCUUGUAUUCAGAAACUGUGCCAUUUUUGUGCUGGACCGUGAUGCUGCAAGACAACCUCUGGCUCGUAGUAGUGUGUGUGUGUGUGUGUGUGUGUGUGUGUGUGUGUGUGUGUGUGUGUGUGUGUGUGUGUGUGUGUGUGUGUGUGUGUGUGUGUGUGUGUGUGUGUGUGUGUGUGUGUGUGUGUGUGUGUGUGUGUGUGUGUGUGUGUGUGUGUGUGUGUGUGUGUGUGUGAGUGUGAAAAUGAUUUUUGUGUUUAGCUUAAGUUGUCGUUUUUCUGUGAGAAAGUCUUUUAUUCCUAGUGUGCGUUAAUGGUUCUGGUCAAAGAGCAAUUUUGUCUCUUCCAGGCAUCCAUAUAGCUGAAACCACAGUCAGUUUUAUUACCGCUGUACAGUCUGGUAGAUGAUGACUGUGUAUCAGAGUUAACCAAAACUUGUUAAAUUACAUAGUUUUUGCUAGAAUUUUUGUUUGUUGUUCUACUUGAUUACAGUCAUUACAAAAGCGUUCUUAAUUUUUUCGUAGCACUCUGUUUCCUACAGACCUAUCAUUUGUUAUUUGAGUUGUUAAAAAAGUAAUCCAGUGUGGUGUGCUGUGUCGUCUGUUUAGACUCUGAACAGACGACAGUCUAAAAGUUAGACUAAGUUGAAUGCAAUGUGAAUGUUGUAGAGUGAGAUACAUCUUGAAUUAAUGAAUUUGUCAUGUCACAUUUUAUUGCCAUUUCAAUCUCUGAACAAAACAUGAAAAAAGUGCUGUAAUUCAUUAAAGAAAAGAACUGUUGAAAAAAGAAAGCAAAGUUCCCUUUAUCAACAUAUCCAGGAUGAAAUUUCAGUCUUAUGUAAAUCAAAUGGUGCAGUCCGCAACUCUAAAUGGUAAUUAGAUUUUCAAGGUAGUUUAUGUCACACUUCACUACUAUUACUGGUAAACAAUAUGGUUUAACAAUAGUUAAACAUCCUUCAAGUUAUUUUAAAUUAUUGUACACUGACAGUCAAUAGAAACUUUGAGACCAUAUUUUUCAACAUAAUUUUUUAUUUUGAAGCCUGAAACUAAAUUUCUUCAUAUGAAUCAUUUGUUUAGCAUACUAGCAUACAGAAACAAAAAUCUAAAGUUUCAAGAAUGAUUUCAAAAUAAAGAAUUUCACAAAAGAAAACGGCACCUGCCAAACACAAAGUCACAACAGUCAACACCGAGUAUGGCCUCCAUUUGCUUCGAUGCAGCCAGCAAUCCGUCGGCGCAUGCUUUGGACCAGGCUUCUGAUUGUGGGUUGGGAACAGCCCAUACGCCUGGCUACAUCACUGUAGCUCAAACCGGCCUCCACCAUACCCAGUGCCCGGAGACGUUGUUCAUGUGAUAGACGCGGCAUGAUGCUGUUCACUGGACUAACAAUGGUGGCCUUUUUUGGGCCUUUAUAUAGACCUUCAAAACCCAUUCUCAAAUUGUGCAGAUACUCACUGAGUCAUGCUUGGUGUGGAUUUGGUUCACUUUUGCAAAGUGACCAACCCAUGUGCAAUGAAUCAUGAUAAAAUGACAACUCCUCAUUAUCUCAACUACCAGGGCACUAGAUCAUCAGUAAAUCCACAAUGAAUAAUUACAACCCCCCUACAAGUAGAAUUCUGCGUACAUUUCUACCUCAAAGUUUCUAUUGACUGUCAGUAUACUAUAGUUGUACAAUACUAAGGUGACACAUCUGCACAAGUUCAUGCAACUUUUAAAUAUCUUUUCAGGUUUCCAUAUAACUAGAACUUCAGCUACAAAGUUCUCAAAUUUUUUAAAUCGACUCGUUCUUUGCGGGAAGUAUAAUUUGUGUUUUUCUUGCAGAAAACUACACUUCAUGUGUAUAUUUGAAAACUGUGAGAAAUGUAGUUUAUUUGCUGAUUCAUCCCAUUCAUUCUUAAGUACAAAUUUGGAAACUGUAAAUGUUUGACAUGUACCAAUAAACAUAUUCGUAAAAAUCAAACUUGAUCAUGCCAAUGUAAGUAAAGCUACAAUAAUGUCCUGUCUAGACAAAUGUAGUAAUUUGUGCAUAAUAUUUCUCAUAAAUCUGUUUAUUUGUAAGUGACUGGGGUUGGCACCCAGAUAUAAGCAGUGGGGCCCAGCGUGUUGAAUAAAAGUCUGUUAUUUGC
Long non-coding RNA from Acanthochromis polyacanthus (spiny chromis), 4452 nucleotides. RefSeq lists it as uncharacterized. NCBI's taxonomy places the organism in Eukaryota, Metazoa, Chordata, Actinopteri, Pomacentridae. The transcript has 4 exons. The record is from RefSeq and is a predicted model, not a curated record.